RNAcentral lists this ribosomal RNA (474 nucleotides) under uncultured bacterium. RNAcentral describes it as "bacterial SSU rRNA". It matches the Rfam family "Bacterial small subunit ribosomal RNA", at positions 30 to 483 of the family's 1533-position model. The record is from RNAcentral.
AUUGAACGCUGGCGGCAUGCCUUACACAUGCAAGUCGAACGGCAGCGGGCCUUCGGGUGCCGGCGAGUGGCGAACGGGUGAGUAAUGCAUCGGAACGUGCCAUUGAGUGGGGGGAUAACGUAGCGAAAGUUGCGCUAAUACCGCAUAUUCUGUGAGCAGGAAAGCAGGGGGACCGCAAGGCCUUGCGCUCUUUGAGCGGCCGAUGUCAGAUUAGCUAGUUGGUGAGGUAACGGCUUACCAAGGCGACGAUCUGUAGCGGGUCUGAGAGGAUGAUCCGCCACACUGGAACUGAGACACGGUCCAGACUCCUACGGGAGGCAGCAGUGGGGAAUUUUGGACAAUGGGGGCAACCCUGAUCCAGCCAUGCCGCGUGAGUGAAGAAGGCCUUCGGUUGGUUAAAGGACUCGUUUUCCGGUCCGGGGUAACGGAAAAGUACGCAUGGUGAAUACCUCGUGUGGAGUGACGGUACCGGAA